Salmo salar (Atlantic salmon) is the source of this 217-nucleotide non-coding RNA. Lineage: Eukaryota; Metazoa; Chordata; Actinopteri; Salmoniformes; Salmonidae. The record is from Rfam.
AAUGUGCUACAUUCAGGGAUUAUAAUUUAUAGUUCUUGGUUUGAGAAAUGUCUUUCUAAAGUGUUUGGUCUUGCUAUUCACGGUGAUGAGAUUGAGUACUCCUUUCUGAGCGCGAAGCGGGCCGUGAUCGAAGAGUUUACUCUUCUGAUGUCUGCUUUUGAUGACCCUUCCUUGUUUCCCCUGGGGAUUUGGAGGAACGGAGUAUAAUCAGAGUGGU